GCACAGAGGAGCUUGCUCCUUGGGUGACGAGCGGCGGACGGGUGAGUAAAGUCUGGGGAUCUGCCUGAUGGAGGGGGAUAACUACUGGAAACGGUAGCUAAUACCGCAUGACGUCUUCGGACCAAAGUGGGGGACCUUCGGGCCUCACGCCAUGAGAUGAACCCAGAUGGGAUUAGCUGGUAGGUGAGGUAACGGCUCACCUAGGCGACGAUCCCUAGCUGGUCUGAGAGGAUGACCAGCCACACUGGAACUGAGACACGGUCCAGACUCCUACGGGAGGCAGCAGUGGGGAAUAUUGCACAAUGGGGGAAACCCUGAUGCAGCCAUGCCGCGUGUGUGAAGAAGGCCUUCGGGUUGUAAAGCACUUUCAGCGGGGAGGAAGGCAAUAAACUUAAUAAGUUUGUUGAUUGACGUUACCCGCAGAAGAAGCACCGGCUAACUCCGUGCCAGCAGCCGCGGUAAUACGGAGGGUGCAAGCGUUAAUCGGAAUGACUGGGCGUAAAGCGCACGCAGGCGGUCUGUUAAGUUGGAUGUGAAAUCCCCGGGCUCAACCCGGGAACAGCAUUCAAAACUGACAGGCUAGAGUCUCGUAGAGGGGGGUAGAAUUCCAGGUGUAGCGGUGAAAUGCGUAGAGAUCUGGAGGAAUACCGGUGGCGAAGGCGGCCCCCUGGACGAAGACUGACGCUCAGGUGCGAAAGCGUGGGGAGCAAACAGGAUUAGAUACCCUGGUAGUCCACGCCGUAAACGAUGUCGACUUGGAGGCUGUGGUCUUGAACCGUGGCUUCCGGAGCUAACGCGUUAAGUCGACCGCCUGGGGAGUACGGCCGCAAGGUUAAAACUCAAAUGAAUUGACGGGGGCCCGCACAAGCGGUGGAGCAUGUGGUUUAAUUCGAUGCAACGCGAAGAACCUUACCUACUCUUGACAUCCAGAGAAGACUGUAGAGAUACGGUUGUGCCUUCGGGAGCUCUGAGACAGGUGCUGCAUGGCUGUCGUCAGCUCGUGUUGUGAAAUGUUGGGUUAAGUCCCGCAACGAGCGCAACCCUUAUCCUUUGUUGCCAGCGAUACGGUCGGGAACUCAAAGGAGACUGCCGGUGAUAAACCGGAGGAAGGUGGGGAUGACGUCAAGUCAUCAUGGCCCUUACGAGUAGGGCUACACACGUGCUACAAUGGCGCAUACAAAGAGAAGCGAGCCUGCGAGGGUGAGCGGACCUCAUAAAGUGCGUCGUAGUCCGGAUUGGAGUCUGCAACUCGACUCCAUGAAGUCGGAAUCGCUAGUAAUCGUAGAUCAGAAUGCUACGGUGAAUACGUUCCCGGGCCUUGUACACACCGCCCGUCACACCAUGGGAGUGGGUUGCAAAAGAAGUAGGUAGC
This 1372-nucleotide ribosomal RNA is filed under the name Brenneria salicis. Its description in RNAcentral is "bacterial SSU rRNA". It matches the Rfam family "Bacterial small subunit ribosomal RNA", at positions 68 to 1434 of the family's 1533-position model. Lineage: Bacteria; Pseudomonadati; Pseudomonadota; Gammaproteobacteria; Enterobacterales; Pectobacteriaceae. The record is from RNAcentral.